RNAcentral lists this ribosomal RNA (918 nucleotides) under Acinetobacter sp. RBC9. RNAcentral's name for it is "bacterial SSU rRNA". It matches the Rfam family "Bacterial small subunit ribosomal RNA", at positions 53 to 965 of the family's 1533-position model. Lineage: Bacteria; Pseudomonadati; Pseudomonadota; Gammaproteobacteria; Moraxellales; Moraxellaceae. The record is from RNAcentral.
ACNNUGCAGUCGAGCGGGGAAAGGGAGCUUGCUACCUAACCUAGCGGCGGACGGGUGAGUAAUGCUUAGGAAUCUGCCUAUUAGUGGGGGACAACAUUUCGAAAGGGAUGCUAAUACCGCAUACGCCCUAAGGGGGAAAGCAGGGGAUCUUCGGACCUUGCGCUAAUAGAUGAGCCUAAGUCGGAUUAGCUAGUUGGUGGGGUAAAGGCCUACCAAGGCGACGAUCUGUAGCGGGUCUGAGAGGAUGAUCCGCCACACUGGGACUGAGACACGGCCCAGACUCCUACGGGAGGCAGCAGUGGGGAAUAUUGGACAAUGGGGGGAACCCUGAUCCAGCCAUGCCGCGUGUGUGAAGAAGGCCUUUUGGUUGUAAAGCACUUUAAGCGAGGAGGAGGCUACCGAGAUUAAUACUCUUGGAUAGUGGACGUUACUCGCAGAAUAAGCACCGGCUAACUCUGUGCCAGCAGCCGCGGUAAUACAGAGGGUGCGAGCGUUAAUCGGAUUUACUGGGCGUAAAGCGUGCGUAGGCGGCUUUUUAAGUCGGAUGUGAAAUCCCCGAGCUUAACUUGGGAAUUGCAUUCGAUACUGGGAAGCUAGAGUAUGGGAGAGGAUGGUAGAAUUCCAGGUGUAGCGGUGAAAUGCGUAGAGAUCUGGAGGAAUACCGAUGGCGAAGGCAGCCAUCUGGCCUAAUACUGACGCUGAGGUACGAAAGCAUGGGGAGCAAACAGGAUUAGAUACCCUGGUAGUCCAUGCCGUAAACGAUGUCUACUAGCCGUUGGGGCCUUUGAGGCUUUAGUGGCGCAGCUAACGCGAUAAGUAGACCGCCUGGGGAGUACGGUCGCAAGACUAAAACUCAAAUGAAUUGACGGGGGCCCGCACAAGCGGUGGAGCAUGUGGUUUAAUUCGAUGCAACGCGAA